Molecule: long non-coding RNA, 883 nt
Organism: Erinaceus europaeus (western European hedgehog)
Lineage: Eukaryota; Metazoa; Chordata; Mammalia; Eulipotyphla; Erinaceidae
Exons: 2
Source: RefSeq, a predicted model, not a curated record
GUGCUCCAGGCAUCCAUCCGCCAUGUCUACUUCUCCUGGAAACUGAACACGUGUGACUCUGCUAGCUGCCAACAGGUUCUAGAUGCCAGCAUGAUGCUGACCAGACUUUCCUGGACAGUGGACCUUACCAAUGUGUACUGGAGCUCCGCGUCCCCAGAGACCCACUCUACUAGAGAAAGAGAGAUGCAUUCUGGGAAUAUGGAUUGACCUGUCAACUCCCAUGUUCAGUGAAGAAGCAAUUACAGAAGCCAGACCUUCCACCUUCUGCAUCCCACAAUGAUCUUGGGUCCAUACUCCCAGAGGGAUAAAGAAUAGGAAAGCUAUCAGGGGCGCGGAUGGGAACGGAGAUCUGGUGGUGGGAAUUGUGUGGAGUUGUACCCCUCUUGUCCUAUUGUUUUGUUAGUCUCCUUUUUUAAAUAAAUAAAGAAAUAAUAAUAAAGAUUAAUGCAGAUCUGAAAUGUAGAUCUCAAAAAAGUGACAAUAUCAGAUAAUGUCAAAGUCUGAAAUGACUUCAAAGAUAUGUAAUCACUCAUUUGCAUUUUACAAGGUUCCAGAGGUAUUUGGGGGGAAGAAUGGAGAAUUUCCUGUUUGUUUGUUUGUUUGUUUUUUAUUAUUUGCCUCCAGGGUUAUUGCCAGGGCUUACUGUUGGAAUUACAAAUCACUGAUCUUGCAGCCUUUUUUUAAAAUUAUUGUUUUUUUUUCAUUUUAUUGGACAGGACAGAGAGAAAUUGAGAGGGGAGGGGGAUAGAUAAAGAGAGACACCUGCAGCCCUGCUUUGUUGGUUGUGAAUAUUUACUGGUCUUCACACCCUAUCUUAACAGUUUAUCACAUUGCUUCAAAUUUGCAGUUAUUUUGAUGAAAAAUAAAUAAAUAAAGGUGUGAA